UACGGAGGAUGCAAGCGUUAUCCGGAAUGAUUGGGCGUAAAGAGUCCGUAGGUGGAACAGCAAGUCUGUGGUUAAAGCGCGAAGCUCAACUUCGUAAAGGCCAUGGAAACUGCUGGUCUAGAGUGGGAUAGGGGUAGAGGGAAUUCUUGGUGUAGCGGUGAAAUGCGUAGAUAUCAAGAAGAACACCGGUGGCGAAAGCGCUCUACUGGAUCUUAACUGACACUGAGGGACGAAAGCUAGGGGAGCGAAAGGG
Molecule: ribosomal RNA, 253 nt
Filed under: uncultured bacterium
Lineage: Bacteria
Description: partial 16S ribosomal RNA
Rfam family: Bacterial small subunit ribosomal RNA
Source: RNAcentral